GGGGGUAUAGCUCACGGGUAGAGCAUUUGACUGCAGAUCAAGAGGUCCCUGGUUCAAUCCAGGUGCCCCCU
Molecule: transfer RNA, 71 nt
Filed under: Dasypus novemcinctus (nine-banded armadillo)
Lineage: Eukaryota; Metazoa; Chordata; Mammalia; Cingulata; Dasypodidae
Description: tRNA-Cys (GCA) (tRNA-Cys-GCA-12-1)
Rfam family: tRNA
About the family: Transfer RNA (tRNA) molecules are approximately 80 nucleotides in length.
Source: RNAcentral